UACGGAGGAUGCGAGCGUUAUCCGGAUUUAUUGGGUUUAAAGGGUGCGUAGGCGGGCUUUUAAGUCAGCGGUAAAAAUUCGGGGCUCAACCCCGUCCGGCCGUUGAAACUGGGGGCCUUGAGUGGGCGAGAAGAAGGCGGAAUGCGUGGUGUAGUGGUGAAAUGCAUAGAUAUCACGCAGAACCCCGAUUGCGAAGGCAGCCUUCCGGCGCCCUACUGACGCUGAGGCACGAAAGUGCGGGGAUCGAACAGG
RNAcentral lists this ribosomal RNA (252 nucleotides) under uncultured bacterium. Its description in RNAcentral is "partial 16S ribosomal RNA". It matches the Rfam family "Bacterial small subunit ribosomal RNA", at positions 524 to 776 of the family's 1533-position model. The record is from RNAcentral.